RNAcentral lists this ribosomal RNA (570 nucleotides) under Ascochyta sp. OTU2 TS-2013. RNAcentral describes it as "eukaryotic LSU rRNA". It matches the Rfam family "Eukaryotic large subunit ribosomal RNA", at positions 62 to 648 of the family's 3401-position model. Lineage: Eukaryota; Fungi; Ascomycota; Dothideomycetes; Pleosporales; Didymellaceae. The record is from RNAcentral.
AAACCAACAGGGAUUGCCCUAGUAACGGCGAGUGAAGCGGCAACAGCUCAAAUUUGAAAUCUGGCGUCUUUGGCGUCCGAGUUGUAAUUUGCAGAGGGCGCUUUGGCAUUGGCAGCGGUCCAAGUUCCUUGGAACAGGACGUCACAGAGGGUGAGAAUCCCGUACGUGGUCGCUAGCCUUUACCGUGUAAAGCCCCUUCGACGAGUCGAGUUGUUUGGGAAUGCAGCUCUAAAUGGGAGGUAAAUUUCUUCUAAAGCUAAAUACUGGCCAGAGACCGAUAGCGCACAAGUAGAGUGAUCGAAAGAUGAAAAGCACUUUGGAAAGAGAGUUAAAAAGCACGUGAAAUUGUUGAAAGGGAAGCGCUUGCAGCCAGACUUGCCUGUAGUUGCUCAUCCGGGUUUUUACCCGGUNCACUCUUCUAUAGGCAGGCCAGCAUCAGUUUGGGCGGUUGGAUAAAGGUCUCUGUCACGUACCUCCUCUCGGGGAGAACUUAUAGGGGAGACGUAAUGCAACCAGCCUGGACUGAGGUCCGCGCAUCUGCUAGAUGCUGGCGUAAUGGCUGUAAGCGGC